AUAACAACAUCAUCUGUGUAUACGAGAAUCAUGGGUAUUUUAAAUUAAGCAUGGCAGCACGUAGAAAGUGGUCGAUAUACAUUGCAGGAAUUUCAGAGACGUACUGCUCACACUGUGGAGCAAAUUCUUUUAAAUGAAAUUGGUGAACCAAUAUUUAAUGAGGACAACUUACAAGAUAUCUUAAUUAAUAUACAGCCAUUGCCCAUUCCUCGACUUCCUAUUGGUGUCCAACAAGCUYCUCCAAAGAGCAGGACGAGGACGAAAUGUUGUAAUUCUUUUGGUUGAUGUUCAUGACAGACCAGCAAUAGGUGGUAGAAGAGAUCAAAGACGUGGGAGUUCUGAGACAGGGAUGCAUGGAAUGCAUUUUUU
This is a long non-coding RNA of Diuraphis noxia (Russian wheat aphid), 369 nucleotides long. Lineage: Eukaryota; Metazoa; Arthropoda; Insecta; Hemiptera; Aphididae. The record is from RefSeq and is a predicted model, not a curated record.